AGGUCUAUCGCCAAGUGGUAAGGCAACAGGUUUUGAUCCCGUCAUUCCCUGGUUCGAAUCCAGGUAGACCUGCCA
RNAcentral lists this transfer RNA (75 nucleotides) under Vibrio zhanjiangensis. RNAcentral describes it as "tRNA-Gln". It matches the Rfam family "tRNA". From Rfam's summary of the family: Transfer RNA (tRNA) molecules are approximately 80 nucleotides in length. Lineage: Bacteria; Pseudomonadati; Pseudomonadota; Gammaproteobacteria; Vibrionales; Vibrionaceae. The record is from RNAcentral.